Peromyscus leucopus (white-footed mouse) is the source of this 2073-nucleotide long non-coding RNA. RefSeq lists it as uncharacterized. The record is from RefSeq and is a predicted model, not a curated record. NCBI's taxonomy places the organism in Eukaryota, Metazoa, Chordata, Mammalia, Rodentia, Cricetidae. The transcript has 5 exons.
AAUAAUAAACAAUGUAUUUAAAAGCAUGUUAAAAAUGGUCAGACAUUUAGAGAUUAUCAGUCAUAUUCUUUAUUUCUCACAUCACAGUUUUGCCGUCUUGCUGCUUGAAGUCAUUUUCUUCUCAUUGGUUUCGUUGCAGAAGGAACCUGCAGUGGAUAAUGCUAUUUAUUUUUGCUUCUAUUCCACUUCCUAGACACGGCAGGUUGUGUGGAUUAUAACCUCUGAUACACAGUCCUCUAAAUUCAGUUGCCUGCAUGAAUAACUUAUUCUCUAGUACCAGCCUGUGUUCUGCUUCUUCCUAUAUAAAUUCUACAUGAGAUUACAGUCACCUUUAAAUUAACACUUCCCUGGCUAAAAGGGCUGUAGGAAUUUCCUCAGUAUGUUUAUUUAUUUGUUUGUUUAUUGAAGCACUAAGCGUGCGCAUGCUGGGAACUCUUCUAUCAAUGAACUAUAUUCCCAGUUCUUUGUAAACCCUUUUUAAAGAUUGAGGCAGGGUCUCACUACGUUGCUCGGAUGGAUCUUGAAUUCCUUAGGUAGAGAAAGCUGUUCUUGAACUUUCGGUCUCCAUGUUCAAGCCUCCCAAUUAUUUGAGAGUACAGUGCUGCAUCACCUGGCCUGCUUCCCAGUAUACAUUGGAACAAAGUUUCAGGACUUCAAAAUUCUUAAUGUCAUAAUUGGAUCAGAAUUCUACUAAGCAGGCACAUGCAUUCAAAGACUACAAAAACAGACAUAUUAGUAACACAGUGAUAUAAAAUCUUCCUCUACAAGUAAUCAUUAAUUCUUAAAACAACAACACUUUAUUUUCCUUAAAUUGAAAAAUGGAGUUGUCCUACAGCAAGGUAUAGUUCUGCCUCUCUGCAGAAACAAUUCCAGUAAACACACAUUGAUUCUAUUCAUCAACUAGUAUUUUGCAAGGCAUUUUAAUGUUCCAUAAGACUACUAUGCUUUCAGGGAAAUUUAAUACACAAAGUGAAGUGUGAAUUUCCCUUCGAUUUGAGACAUGCUCAAUAGGAAGAUGUUAAAAGAGUUAAAUUACAAAGCUAAGAAGCAAGUCAAUCUACAGUUUCUUGCACCUGCGUCAAUGAACCUUAUGUGAAAAAACUGAAAACCAUGUAAAUUAACUUCAGUAAUUAGGAACAAAGCAAACAUGAUACAACUUGAAAGUCACUACUAAUGCAAUGUAUUAUUGUAAUUCAAUUAAUGCGUAAGGAAACAGUAAACAAAUGCUAAAAGUUAAGAUGGUGGGCAUUUGAAAAUACUUCAUAGUGAAAACAUAAAUGAGACUUGCACAUACAUGGUUUUAUGUUUGGAAAGCGAUUUUUUGCUCUGUUCCAAGGGAGAUCAGCAUCAGUUGAAGAAAGAUCUUGAAGAAAUUUCGGUAAUUCCUGUGGGGAAAAAGUCAUUGCAAAGUUUAAACUUGACAGUGUGAUUUCAUGCCUAUUAAUUGGUACAACCCUGGUCAUUUUGAGAAGAUGUCAAAGGUCAAUUCUGCACUCCGUUGGCCUCGUUAAAUUGAUAGUGGAAUGCAAAGGAUGAAAGAGCAGGGAGCUGGGGCCAGCCUGCCAUUGCCGGGAGUCCUGAAGAAGAUCACCUUCUCCUAACACAAAUGGAUGGGACCCAGCUCUGUGAAGGAUACACAGCAGUGGAUAAAAAGAAGAAAAGAAAGAAUGUAACUGCAGAAGUUCAGUCAAUCCAUAGAGAUUUUGUAACAUAAAUUCUGCAGUUCUACAAGCAAAUGGUUUUAACAAAUAUCAUGAUAUAUAGAUAAUAUAACACAAAGCAGGAAAAUCAAUUAAGAGCCAAAGCCCUUGAAUUAUAAAUGCCCACUAAUAAAGAAUUGGUAGAGACCUGGCCUACAUUUCUAUGACUCGAAACCUCUCUGUAGCUGCCAAGACAGUCAUUACCAGAAUAAAAAGUCAAAAAGAAAACCACACAGUUUCCUAGCUGUGUUGAAUGGUAAGAAGUAGAGAAUGGUUAUGCUCUGAAAACACCACAUUUAGGAAAGCUACCCCAGCACUGACGUUCGCUGUCAGGAAAAGUGACCUCAAUGGAUGCUUUUUCUCAUGUUAACCC